Molecule: ribosomal RNA, 400 nt
Filed under: uncultured beta proteobacterium
Lineage: Bacteria; Pseudomonadati; Pseudomonadota; Betaproteobacteria
Description: bacterial SSU rRNA
Rfam family: Bacterial small subunit ribosomal RNA
Source: RNAcentral
UAGAGUUUGAUCCUGGCUCAGAUUGAACGCUGGCGGCAUGCCUUACACAUGCAAGUCGAACGGCAGCACGGGAGCAAUCCUGGUGGCGAGUGGCGAACGGGUGAGUAAUACAUCGGAACGUGCCCAGUAGUGGGGGAUAGCCCGGCGAAAGCCGGAUUAAUACCGCAUACGACCUACGGGUGAAAGCGGGGGAUCGCAAGACCUCGCGCUGUUGGAGCGGCCGAUGGCAGAUUAGCUUGUUGGUGGGGUAAAGGCCUACCAAGGCGACGAUCUGUAGCUGGUCUGAGAGGACGACCAGCCACACUGGGACUGAGACACGGCCCAGACUCCUACGGGAGGCAGCAGUAGGGAAUUUUCCACAAUGGGCGAAAGCCUGAUGGAGCAACGCCGCGUGAACGAG